Non-coding RNA from Ornithorhynchus anatinus (platypus), 72 nucleotides. NCBI's taxonomy places the organism in Eukaryota, Metazoa, Chordata, Mammalia, Monotremata, Ornithorhynchidae. The record is from Rfam.
AGCAGCGUGGCUCAGUGGAAAGAGCACGGGCUUGGGAGUCAGCGGUCACGGGUUCGAAUCCCGGCUCUGCCA